This 497-nucleotide ribosomal RNA is filed under the name uncultured bacterium. RNAcentral describes it as "partial 16S ribosomal RNA". It matches the Rfam family "Bacterial small subunit ribosomal RNA", at positions 28 to 507 of the family's 1533-position model. The record is from RNAcentral.
GAUGAACGCUGGCGGCGUGCCUAAUACAUGCAAGUCGAGCGAACAGACGAGGAGCUUGCUCCUCUGAAGUUAGCGGCGGACGGGUGAGUAACACGUGGAUAACCUACCUAUAAGACUGGGAUAACUUCGGGAAACCGGAGCUAAUACCGGAUAAUAUAUUGAACCGCAUGGUUCAAUAGUGAAAGACGGUUUUGCUGUCACUUAUAGAUGGAUCCGCGCCGCAUUAGCUAGUUGGUAAGGUAACGGCUUACCAAGGCGACGAUGCGUAGCCGACCUGAGAGGGUGAUCGGCCACACUGGAACUGAGACACGGUCCAGACUCCUACGGGAGGCAGCAGUAGGGAAUCUUCCGCAAUGGGCGAAAGCCUGACGGAGCAACGCCGCGUGAGUGAUGAAGGUUUUCGGAUCGUAAAACUCUGUUAUUAGGGAAGAACAAAUGUGUAAGUAACUAUGCACGUCUUGACGGUACCUAAUCAGAAAGCCACGGCUAACUACGUG